Long non-coding RNA from Mustela erminea (ermine), 144 nucleotides. RefSeq lists it as uncharacterized. The record is from RefSeq and is a predicted model, not a curated record. NCBI's taxonomy places the organism in Eukaryota, Metazoa, Chordata, Mammalia, Carnivora, Mustelidae. The transcript is spliced from 3 exons.
ACAAGAAAGUGAAAUCGUAUGAUAAUUGACUCUCUCUGCUUGACUUAUUUCACUCAGCAUAAUCUCCUCCAGUCACGUCUAUGUUGAUACAGAAUUUAGGUAUUCAUCCUUUCUGAUGGAGGCAUAAUACUGCAGUGUAUAUAU